UACGACUACAUAUCAGGCAUAUCAAUAAGCGGAGGAAAAGAAACUAACAAGGAUUCCCUUAGUAACGGCGAGUGAAGCGGGAAGAGCUCAAAUUUGAAAUCUUCAAGGUUUUACCUUGACGAAUUGUAGUUUAAAGAAGUGUUUUCUGUUGGAGUUUUGGUAAAAGUUCUUUGGAAUAGGACAUCAUAGAGGGUGAGAAUCCCGUAUUUGACCAUUAUUUUCAGCUGUGUGAUACACUUUCAAAGAGUCGGAUUGUUUGGGAAUGCAGUCCAAAAUGGGUGGUAAAUUUCAUCUAAAGCUAAAUAUUGGCGAGAGACCGAUAGCGAACAAGUACCGUGAGGGAAAGAUGAAAAGAACUUUGAAAAGAGAGUUAAACAGUACGUGAAAUUGUCAAAAGGGAAGCGUUUGACACCAGUGUUGUUUUCUCGAAAAUCAAUUAAAAAAAGUUGGAUUUUGUGUUGUAUUGACCUUAACAGCUUGCUUCACUCUUUUCCAGCUUUUUUUAAUGCACUUUUCGUUUAACAAGUCAACAUCAGUUUCUUUUGUUGUAAAAGGGUCAUUGGAAGGUGGCUUUCUCUUCGGAGAAAGUGUUUAUAGCCUUUGAUCUCUGCAAUCGGAGAGACUGAGGUCUGCAGCGUAGAUCCUUCGGGGUUAGAUACAUUUGUGCUAAGCUACAGCUUUUCAUAGACAACUUGAUGACUAUGUUUAGUCUUGUAACUUACCCGCUUAUGCUAUUUUACCUACGUUAGGAUGUUGAGCGCAUGUCUCUCUCU
Molecule: ribosomal RNA, 773 nt
Filed under: uncultured Neocallimastigales
Lineage: Eukaryota; Fungi; Neocallimastigomycota; Neocallimastigomycetes; Neocallimastigales
Description: partial large subunit ribosomal RNA
Rfam family: Eukaryotic large subunit ribosomal RNA
Source: RNAcentral